UAUAAUAUACUUGAUCUUGACUAUCCUACUUGGAUAACUGUGGUAAUUCUAGAGCUAAUACAUGCACCAAAGCUCCGAUUUGAAGAGCGCAUCUAUUAGAUUAAAACCAAUCAGGCCUUUCGGCCUGUUCAUUGGUGACUCUGAAUAGCUUAGCUGAUCGCAUGGUCUUGUACCGGCGACGUGUCUAUCAAGUGUCUGCCUUAUCAACUUUCGAUGGUAGUUUAAAUGCCUACCAUGGUUGUUACGGGUAACGGAGAAUAAGGGUUCGACUCCGGAGAGGGAGCCUUAGAAACGGCUACCACAUCCAAGGAAGGCAGCAGGCGCGCAAAUUACCCACUCUCAGUAUGAGGAGGUAGUGACGAAAAAUAACAAGACCGUUCUCUUAGAGGCCGGUUAUUGGAAUGAGUACAAUUUAAAUCCGUUAACGAGGAUCUAUGAGAGGGCAAGUCUGGUGCCAGCAGCCGCGGUAAUUCCAGCUCUCAAAGUGUAUAUCGUCAUUGCUGCGGUUAAAAAGCUCGUAGUUGUAUAUGCGCUACAGGAUCCGGUCCGCUUUUUUAGCGAGAACUGGACUCUUGGGCUAGUACUGUUGGUUUUCCCUACGUUGCCUUCAUCGGUCGCGUAGGGUGGCUAGCGAGUUUACUUUGAAAAAAUUAGAGUGCUUAACGCGGGCUAUUGCCUGAAUAUUCGUGCAUGGAAUAAUAGAAUAGGAUCUCGGUUCUAUUUUGUUGGUUUUCUGAUCUGAGAUAAUGGUUAAGAGGGACGGACGGGGGCAUUCGUAUCGCUGCGUGAGAGGUGAAAUUCUUGGACCGUAGCGAGACGUCCGACUGCGAAAGCAUUUGCCAAGAAUGUCUUCAUUAAUCAAGAACGAAAGUCAGAGGUUCGAA
This 884-nucleotide ribosomal RNA is filed under the name Meteterakis amamiensis. RNAcentral's name for it is "SSU rRNA". It matches the Rfam family "Eukaryotic small subunit ribosomal RNA", at positions 111 to 1002 of the family's 1831-position model. Lineage: Eukaryota; Metazoa; Nematoda; Chromadorea; Rhabditida; Heterakidae. The record is from RNAcentral.